Molecule: small nuclear RNA, 23 nt
Filed under: Arabidopsis thaliana (thale cress)
Lineage: Eukaryota; Viridiplantae; Streptophyta; Magnoliopsida; Brassicales; Brassicaceae
Description: snRNA_06241
Source: RNAcentral
UUUAUGAUCCAUUUUUGGUCUGU